This 253-nucleotide ribosomal RNA is filed under the name uncultured bacterium. RNAcentral describes it as "partial 16S ribosomal RNA". It matches the Rfam family "Bacterial small subunit ribosomal RNA", at positions 524 to 776 of the family's 1533-position model. The record is from RNAcentral.
UACGAAGGGGACUAGCGUUGUUCGGAAUUACUGGGCGUAAAGCGCACGUAGGCGGAUUUGUUAGUCAGGGGUGAAAUCCCGGGGCUCAACCUCGGAACUGCCUUUGAUACUGCAAAUCUCGAGUCCGAUAGAGGUGGGUGGAAUUCCUAGUGUAGAGGUGAAAUUCGUAGAUAUUAGGAAGAACACCGGUGGCGAAGGCGGCCCACUGGAUCGGUACUGACGCUGAGGUGCGAAAGUGUGGGGAGCAAACAGG